Molecule: long non-coding RNA, 1489 nt
Filed under: Callithrix jacchus (white-tufted-ear marmoset)
Lineage: Eukaryota; Metazoa; Chordata; Mammalia; Primates; Cebidae
Description: lncRNA (ENSCJAG00000072369.1)
Source: RNAcentral
AUCAGGCUUUUUGGCAGCUAUGGGCAGCCACUCCUGUGGCAUUUCAUCUGGGUCUGGAGAUUGUAGGAGGGGCCAGCGACUCUUGAGGCUCAGCCUCAAGCAGCAGAAGGGUUUGUGUCCUUUGACUGAGAUGCUAAGUGAAGCAGAGCAAAUGGCUGAGUCCAAGAGACAGGGAUGACGCCAAUUAAAAUGCCUAAUGGAAAUGUAUGAAAGAAGGUGGACACAGUGGCUCAUGCCUGUAAUUCUAGCACUUUGGGAGGCUGAGGCAGGCAGAUCACCUGAAGUUGGGAGUUCAAGUGCAGCCUGGCCAGCAUGGUGAAACCCCAUCUCUACUAAAAAUACAAAAAUUAGCCAGGCAUGAUGGCAGGUGCCUGUAAUCCUAGCUACUCAGGAGGCUGAGGUGGGAGAAUCACUUGAACCGGGGAGGAAGAGGUUGCAGUGAGCUGAGAUCAUGUCAUUGCACUCCAGCCUGGGUGACAGAGCAAAACUCUGCCUAAAGAAAAAAAAAAAGGAUAAAGUAUGUACUUAUUCAUAGCAACAUUAUUACAUCAUUCUGAAAUCUUUUGGAUUUUUGCCAUUAUAACUGAGAAAUAAUACCUAAAUAUAGCUUUAGUCUACAUUGCUCUUCUUAAGAAUAAAGUUGAGGCUUUUAUAUAUGUUUCAUGAAGUGUGUAUGUAUUUUCUUCUGUGAAUUCUUCAUAUCUUUUGUUCAGUUUUUCUGCUGGGGUUUUUAUGUGUUUCUGUCUAUGUCCAGGACCUAUUCUAGGGAGAUUAUCCCUCUGCUGUCACACAAAUUGCAAAUAUUUUCCUGACUCGUCAUUUAUCUGUUACUAUUUUAAUUAUUUGAUAAGUUAAAUUUGGCCUUGGUUGUAGUGCUUUUUUUUUUAACCUUGAAACAUUUUUUUUUUUUUUUUUUUUUUUACCGCAGUCAAAUUUAACAAUCUUUAUUUGUGGCCUUUAGAGUUUACGUUUUAAUUUAAGUUCUACCCCCAUUCCAAGGUCAUAAAGAAAAUUCUCCACUAUUUUCUCUACUACUUUAUGAUUAUUUUAUUUUGCACUUAAAGAUUUGAUCUUUUGGAAUUUAUUCUAGUAUAUAGUGUGAAAUUUGGAUUUAACUACAGUCUGUUCUCAUUAUUCACAGAUUCUGUUCUUGUGAAUUCAUCUACUUGCUAAAACGUAUUUAUAACCCUAGAAUCUGUACUCAGUAUUUUUGCAGUCAUUCUUGACACAAGUAGUGGCAAAACAUUUGAGUUGUCUGAUGUGUGCAUGUUCCCAGUUAAGGCUGAACAACUGAUGCUCCGCCUUCUGUGGUGCUGUAAACAAAUGGGCUUCUUCCAGCCUAUUUAGUAUGACAUCUUCACAUUUUUUGUGCUGUUUGUUGGUGCCUAAGUAUAGUGCUGAAAUGUUAUCUAAUAUUCCCAACUGUCUUACAGACCAAAUAUGUGUGUAAGAUUAGCUUUGUUCAGGCAUGCGUUACAGUGCUUUUGGC